Molecule: ribosomal RNA, 406 nt
Filed under: uncultured bacterium
Lineage: Bacteria
Description: partial 16S ribosomal RNA
Rfam family: Bacterial small subunit ribosomal RNA
Source: RNAcentral
AUUGAACACUGGCGGCAGGCCUAACACAUGCAAGUCGAACGAGUGGCGGACGGGUGAGUAAUGUCUGGGAAACUGCCCGAUGGAGGGGGCUAACUACUGGAAACGGUAGCUAAUACCGCAUACCCUCGGAUGUGCCCAGAUGGGAUUAGCUAGUAGGUGGGGUAACGGCGCACCUAGGCGACGAUCCCUAGCUGGUCUGAGAGGAUGACCAGCCAAACUGGAACUGAGACACGGCCCAGACUCCUACGGGAGGCAGCAGUGGGGAAUAUUGCACAAUGGGCGCAAGCCUGAUGCAGCCAUGCCGCGUGUAUGAAGAAGGCCUUCGGGUUGUAAAGUACUUUCAGCGAGGAGGCGUUACUCGCAGAAGAAGCACCGGCUAACUCCGUGCCAGCAGCCGCGGUAAUAC